AUUGAACGCUGGCGGAAUGCUUUACACAUGCAAGUCGAACGGCAGCACGGGGGCAACCCUGGUGGCGAGUGGCGAACGGGUGAGUAAUACAUCGGAACGUGCCCAGUCGUGGGGGAUAACGUAGCGAAAGUUACGCUAAUACCGCAUACGAUCUACGGAGGAAAGCGGGGGACCGUAAGGCCUCGCGCGAUUGGAGCGGCAGAUGUCAGAUUAGGUAGUUGGUGAGGUAAAGGCUCCCCAAGCCGACGAUCUGUAGCUGGUUUGAGAGGACGACCAGCCACAGUGGGACUGAGACACGGCCCAAACGCCUACGGGAGGCAGCAGUGGGGAAUCUUGGACAAUGGGCGCAAGCCUGAUCCAGCCAUUCCGCGUGCAGGACGAAGGCCUUCGGGUUGUAAACUGCUUUUGUACGGAACGAAAAGGCUCUGGUUAAUACCUGGGGCUCAUGACGGUACCGUAAGAAUAAGCACCGGCUAACUACGUGCCAGCCGCCGCCGUAC
Molecule: ribosomal RNA, 500 nt
Filed under: uncultured bacterium
Lineage: Bacteria
Description: partial 16S ribosomal RNA
Rfam family: Bacterial small subunit ribosomal RNA
Source: RNAcentral